RNAcentral lists this long non-coding RNA (13797 nucleotides) under Homo sapiens (human). RNAcentral describes it as "HSALNT0098236". The record is from RNAcentral. Lineage: Eukaryota; Metazoa; Chordata; Mammalia; Primates; Hominidae.
UUUAUUUCUUGGGGGUGAGACUGGAAAAGGGGAGAUAUGUUUCAUUUUAAGCCUGUUUGAAAUUUUUUACCAUGGGCACUUACUGCUUUUGUAAACAAGGAAUUCUUUCAUGUUUAAAACAUGGUGGUGAGCAGUUGCUGAGCCGCGCAGGGCAGGACUCCUCCUCUCGCUCCAGCUGCUUGUUAGCAUCGAGUCUCCGGGUAAUUUUGACAGCGCCAAGCAAGCCCCAGAGCUGAGUGCCAACACGUCACUCUACAGAGUGCCCUGUGCUGGUCAUUAGAGCCCUGCUCCUGUUCUGUGGCUAUAAUCCUAGCACUUUGGGAGGCCGAGGCAGGUGGAUCACCUGAGAUCAAGAGUUCGAGACCAGCCUGGCCAACAUGGUAAAACCCUGUUUCUACUAAAAAUACAAAAAUUAGCUGGGCGUGGUGGUGGGCACCUGUAAUCCCAACUACUCGGGAGGCUGAGGCAGGAGAAUCACUUGAACCCAAGAGGCAGUGGUUGCAGUGAGCCGAGAUCAUACCAUCGCACUCCAGCCUGGGCAACAGAGCAAAAACUCCGUCUCAAAAAAAAAAAAAAAAAAAGACAAAACAGAACAAACAGAAGCAGCCCUUUCUGGGUAGCAAGGGCCGCGGUGGUGGCAGUGGCUGGUGGCUGGUGGCUGGCAGCUUGAUUUCCUACCUCAAGCUCCCUGAUGCCUGCUGGAAGGGUUCUCCAGACAGCCCGACUGCAGCUGGAGCCACAGGUACCAGGCCUGAAGACCAAGCAAUAAAUCAUUAGCAGAUUGGCCCACGGAUCACUUCCCUUUUGGGGCGCUGCCUGGCACUUCCCAAGAGGAAGAAAUUUAUCAGCACUUGGCUGGCUGCCCUGUGCUCGCACAGUCGCGGGCUCCCAGUAGGUCACACCGAGUGGCCCCUCCUCCUCAGACACAGGGCUGUGCCUGGGGAGGCCCAAGAAAGCCAAAGAAUAGGCCACGGGCUCAGAAGACAGGGUGAGAAACACUUAGUCAGCAUAAUCCCUGCCAAUCACACCAGGGCUUCCGGUAAUACCAAGAGGGGAGCGGGUGAGAAGGUGGAUUCUGAAUCUGACCACGUAACUCUGCACUGCCACGAAGGCCCCAGCUCAUGCCCCGCGCUCAGCAGAGAGUGGGCUUGGGCCUCAUCUUCCUGUAACCGGGGGCUGGGGACCACUUUGAUCUCACUGUUCCCCUUGCUGCUGUUCACACCAGUACGGCGCCUUCAAGAAGUUAUCCCAGGGCAAUUUUCCACCUUUGAAGUCCCCGGAAAACCCUGCCAAAAGCCGUUCUGGUGUGAGGAUGCUGCAGGGGCAGGCAGCCUGGUGCCGCGGCCUCCCGGGUGCCAGAACUGGAACAUCGAGACAUCAAAGGCGAAGGUGGCAGCAGGGCGAUGAGUAAGCUCCGCUGCAGGCUUGGCCUCGGCCCCAGAAGCCUUCUCCUCAUCUCCCAGUGGUGGCUGAGCAGGACUAGGGAGACGACCCAGAGAGCCUGGAGACCUGGCUUGGGGGAAGCCCUGUGGAUGCUUCUGGAGGCGGACACUUCCCUGCUGCUCUGUGCCUGGUAAAGGCACCGACCACUGCAGAGCAGAAGCAGAGUCCAAUCCUGGCUCCAAAGCGCCCCUGACUGCAAAGCUUUGGUACUGUUAUUACCACCGUGAAACAGGUGGGGAAACUGAAGCAUGAGGAGCUUGAGUAAUGUGUGUUAGAUCACGCAACCAGUAGUGGCAGAGCUGGAAUUCCGACCUGGGACUGCCUCCAAAGUUCUUGCGUAAGAAUACAGCUGCUACACUUGCCCUUCUUCAGCUGAGACCAAGGAGGGAAUUCUGAUUGAAAGCAAACCAGGGAGGAAAGAUGCACUAGCACUGACCUGUAACAGGUCAAUCUGUGCCAUGGCAUGGCGAGACGAAGUGGAGAACCCAUGUCUCAUUGGAAUCCCGGAUCAUCGUCUCCACGAAGGCUGUCUUCUGCAGCACUCCAGGGACUCACGGCUCUGGGCUUAUUGCUCAGUGUCAUGUGACAGAUGUUUUAGUGUUUAGUUGGAACCCUGGAUCUGCAGCAACCAUCUUGCUACCAACUUGAGGGUGAAGCCAGCCGUAAGAAUAGCAGGCCGGAAAGAUGGAAGAAACCUGGCUUUCCAAUGUCAUCAUUUGGUUGCUGAAUCAAUUGUACCUAAAGCUCACUCUAUCUGUUUUACCUUGAGUUAGGGUUGCCGUUGCUUGCAGCUAAACGCAUCUUCUUUUUUUUUUUUUUUUUUUUUUUUUUUGAGAAGGAGUCUUACUCUAUCACCCAGGUUGGAGUGCAGUGGCGCGAUCUCAACUCACUGCAACCUCCACCUCCCAGGUUCAAGUGAUUCUUGUGCCUCAGCCUCCCACGUAGCUAGGAUUACAGGCGUGAGCCACCACGCCCGGCUUAUUUUUGUAUUUUUGGUAGAGAAGGGGUUUCGCCAUGUUGCCCAGGCUGGUCUUUAACUUCUGGACCUUAGGUGAUCCACCCGCCUCAGCCUCCCAAAGUGCUGGAAUUACUGGCAAGAUCCACCACACCCAGUCUAAAUGCAUCUGAAUAUAACAUGACUCUCCUAGAGAAAAACCUGGAACCCAGAGCACCUGAAUAGAAACUCUUAAUUAUAUCAAUGAGGAAUAGUUAACUUAGCCAAGUUUCCAUUGAAUAUGAAGAACUGUAAAAUAAUGUCAGUUCUAGCCAAGAACUGAAAAGUAAUGUCAGUACUCUAUAAUGUGUAAUUCAUAGUUGCUACAUGUAAUCAGGCUUGGCCAAUUGUUUCCAGGAAGAUGGCACCCUCAUUUCUGAAUGAGGAUGACCAUUUUCCACUAAUCCAGAGGUAAAACAGUCAUUGUAACUGCACUGAAAUUUGCUGUAUCAAGUGAGACAUGAAGGUAAAUGUCAUUGGCCCAGAGUAAUUAGUCUUUUCCAGUGCUUAAAGGAAGGGAGAGAAACUAAUGCCUAUUGAGUGCCUUCAAAGCUUCUGCAAUGUGCUGGUACCCACAUGUUUCCAAUUAUUCCUCACAACACUAUGGAGAGGUUAUUUUGCCUGUUUUGCUGAUCAGGGAACUGAGACUCACAGAGUGACACCAACCCAUCAGUAUUUCAGGUUUCUGGGGAGGGUCCAGAGAGCAAGGGGGAAGCUGCUAAUUGCUUGUUGGUUCAAGAGAAAUGUUAUCUCAGUAGACUAACGUAUGGACUUUCUGAUGUCAGAAAAUGCAAACUAUGUAGUGUAACCUGUUUGCCAUUUUUUCUUUGUAUCCGCAAACUGACAGCAAAAUAUAUUGCACAAGUAUUAUAAAUCUGUUCAGUUCAAGUGCCAGAGAACAUUUACUCUGCUUCCUUCAUGAGGUAAUUCAAAACUUUGUUUUUAAUAUUUAUUGAGUGUCUGGGUAGGUAAACUGCUAUGCCGUCCUAUGGGGAAUUUCAGAUGUGUUGUCUGUGUGUGUGUGUGUGUGUAUGUGUGUGUGUGUGUGGUGUUUUCUGGUUUUGAUUGUUGACGUUUUCUUGAUUUUUUUUGACAGGAGCAUCUUUAGAUAUUUAUUUAUUUUAUAAUUCAUACAUACAUAUAGUAAAAAGUUCAGAUAGUUUUAAAAUAUAGUGAUGUGUAAAUCUCCCCUCACUUGUGAGCCCCAGGCAUUCAGCUCCCCUCCCUAGACGCAAUUAUUGUAGUCAGUUCAAAGCUUGUUUGUGCACAUACAAGUCUCUGUGUAUAUCCUCUACACACACCCAGAAGAGCAUACUAUACAUGCUCUAGACUGUGUUAUGUUUCUUUGAAUGGCUACGAUGUAAUUUAUUAAUCCAGUUCCCUAAUAAUAGGCAUUUAGGUACUUUUCAUGUUUUUCUCAAUGUGUAAUUGUACCAUUAAAAUUCUUGGGUUUUUUUUUGGUUUUUUGGUUUUUUAUUAAGAGUCUCGCUCUGUUGCCCAGGCUGGAGUGCAGUGGCGUGAUGUCAGCUCACUGCAACCUCCGCCUCCCAUGUUCAAACAAUUCUCGUGCCUCAGGCUUCCGAGUAGCUGGGAUUACAGUCGCCCACCACCAUGCCUGGUUAAUUUUUUUGUAUUUUUUAGUAGAGACAGGGUUUCACCAUGUUGGCCAGGCUGGUCUCAAACUCCUGACCUCGAGUGAUCCGCCUCUCUUGGCUUCCCAAAGUGUUGGGAUUACAGGCAUUAGCCACAGCGAAAAUCCUUGUAUUCAUGCCUUUGCCCAUGUUUGCAAGUAUAACUGGGAGAUAAAAUGCUAGAAUUGCAGGGUCCAAAAAAAAGCACAUUUUAAUUUUAACAACUAUAACCCAGUUGCCUUCCAAAGAGGCUGUACACAUGUUUCCCUGUCUCAAACAGUGGUGAGCAUGCCUGCUCCCCUACAAACUCACCAGCUCAGAGCAUUAUCAGGCUUCUCAUCUCUGCCAACCUGGUAAGUACAAAGGGCAUCUCUUGUAGUUUCGGUUGCAUUUUUCUCAUUAUGAGAUUGAGCAGCAGACAAUGUCUUUAAAAGACUUAUUUUGCUCUGGGUUUUAAUCUUAAAAUACUCUAAAUCCUCUUAGAAGUAGGUAGGGUCAGAUCUUCAAUCUGGAUGGAUUUACGUAAUGGGUCUAUGAAAGGGAUAGAAAGUCAAAGCAAGGGGGUGAGGCGGGGGAAUGAUGCGAAGUCAAAGCCCUCCCCCUCGGGGGCCCCUAGCCCAUCCCUGAUCCCUCACCCUUUGCAGGGCAUGUCCAGAGCUGCCACUGCCCUGGGCCUCCACCCCACAGCCCAGGACCACACCUUAACCUGGAAAGUCGUGGACCUCCUCAGGGGAGCUCAGGGAUCAGAUGGGCCGAUGGGUGUUACUGUGGCCAGGAGCACUGGGUCUUGAGUAUGUGGGUGGAACUUUCCCUCAUCCCCUGACCACGUCUAACCACAUGGCCUCUCCACUUUGAUAGUGGCGAGAAGAGUAGCCUCUUGCUUUUGCAUGUUUUCCUAAUCACAGCGUGCUUUCUUGUCUGCUAUUUCAUUUGACUUUUUUCAACCAGCCGCUGAGGUGGGGAUUAUUAGCACGCCCUUUGCAGAUGAGGAAACUGAAGCCCAGGGAGCUUUGGCAACCUGCCCAAGGUCACACAGCCAGUGAAGGAAAGGGCUGAAAUCAAACCAGGCCUGUCUGACUGCAAGGCAGGGUCUUACGGCUGCCUCCGGUGGGUAGGUCCGGGACCCAGCUGGUUUCCGUCCUGUGGCUCAGGUGCGAGGAGAGCCUCCCUGGGCCACCUGGGGAAGUCUGACUGACGUGCCAGAUCCUCACAGAACAAAGGUAAGGCCUCAGCCUUCCCCCUGGCCCAGGUCUUUCCAUGUCCAGUGCAUUCCUGAAUGCUCCCAGUACUCUGGAAAAUGGGGAUUCAUGCUGCCAUUUUAAUUGGAACCCAAUCUGUUCUGACUUCAAAUCUAGUGCUCCUUCUCCAUCCACCCACCCUCCCUGAACCAUGCCCAGGAGAUCGAGAGAUUUUCCUAAUAAACAAGUCAUGUGCUACAAUGCAUGUGCUACACAACCACUGCCCGCUUUGUCUCUCCCCCUAGGAGAGAAGGGGACUCCUGAGAGGCCCCAGCAGCGUUAUCUGGGCAGAGAAAGUGAGUUUGAAGACCUCACACUCCAUCUGGACUUUAUCAGCUCCUUUCCUGGGUAGGAUUACAGUAAACGAUUAUCUACAGAUCUGGAGCCAGCAAGGACUUUGAAGGCCCCAAUUGCCAAGGGGGUGGUGAAAUGGGGGAAGGGCUGGAGACGCAGGAGAUGAAAAAGCAGUGCAGGCAUCUUAUCUUCCUCCUGAAAUCAAACAGGCUGGGCCUGGGCAGGGUGGGAGAGGUACCCUGUCUGUGAGGCUGACAGUCUCUAGCCCUGGCUGGCCACAAAAGAUACAGAGAGAACCAGAUGAAGGCCCUUCACUGUCUUCUCCUGAUCCUCUCUCCCUCCUCCUGGUUUCUUUUAUUAAUUCAUUCAUUCACUUGCAUCUUUCAGCCUGUUAGUUACAAUAUCUGACACGCUCUGAGCUCUCCCGCCAAGCCAAGUGCUUAGCAUCCAUCCCCUCAUGUGGUCUUCACCAUGACCUUCUGGGAGAGGUGCCAGAAUUAGGCCCAUUUUACAGAUGAGGAAAAUGAAGCCCCAGAGGCUAAGUAAUAGGAUGAGCCUGGGAUCACACAGCUAGUAAAUGGUAGGGUCUGGAUUCUCUUAAACCUGCAUACAUUUAUUCUUCCAUUUCCCCCUGCCUGCCUGCUUUCCUCUCAUAAUUCAUUUAUGUAUUCAGUUUUUCAUAUUCCCAUUGCUUGUUCAUUUUGAAGUUCCUUCCCUUCUUGCUUAUGCAUUUCUUCUGUCCCUUCCUGUCUUCCUCCUGUCUCUUCCUUCCUUCCAUGACCACAUCCUGAGCCUACUGUGUGCCCUGUCACCCUGCCAUCAGGACAUGGGGCUCCUGACAGAUGACUGCUGGGGAGGGAUAUGUGAGACCACCUCCUCCAGGGUCGACCUCCUCAAAUGAGGCUUUUGGGCUGUGCCUCCCUAUGCCUGAUUUGUCCCAGUGUUUGCCAAAAAUUUUAGGCUUUGAUAAUCUUGUGAAGAUGUUUCAGCCAAGCAAGUCUUGAGACUCCAUUGGUGUGGGAGUAAAAGUGGCCUGGGGAAGCCACUUCUUGCAGUUUCCCCUAAGCAAGGCUCUUUCUGUCCUUGCUGUUCUGACAUCCACUCCCUCAGCAAACAUCAUUAAGGACCUAUCAUGGGCAGCCCCUGGGGCCCACUCCCAUCCUCUAGCUGUCUCGAUUUCAUACCUCCCUAGCUCUAGAAAAUUCACUCCUAGAAGGCAGGGAAUUGGCGUCAAGGAACGGGUUCACAGCCUUGGACUCCUUUAUUCAUUCAUCUUUUUUCCUAGCACCUAACACAGGGCCUGGCUUAGACUGAAGGCUAAUAAAUACAGGAUCAAAAGGCAGUGAACCAUCAUUCUCUGUCACUCUCCAGGAGCUGGCCCACUCACCGUGCUAGACAUUGUACUGGAUAUAGUAGUCCCGCAUCGUUGUAUCACUCUCAUUUCUAGCUGGAGAAGUACCCCUCCUUUUCUAGGUGCGGUUAUGGGGUCGCUAUCACCUGAAGUGCCCGCCACUCACCCUGUAGUCUUGGGUGGGUAUGUGAUCUCAGCUAAAACAGUCGAGGUCUCUCUCCCUGGGCUUGGAAUUGUAAACCAAGUGAUGCAGAGAAAGAAAAAACACAAGCCCUUGGAGCCCAUCACAUCCCAUCACCGAUGAGGCUGUCCAGCGGUUCUGGCCCUCAGAAGCCCCAGAGAACUCCAGUUUCUGUCCUUUUCCGAGUGUGGCUUUCUGUCCACUUUAUGGCUGCUCAACCUCCCUCCAGUAUGCCCCUUCUCCCCUUAGUCAGUGAAUGUCUGUUUCUGUGCUUGCAAAUGAUAAAUCCUAAAUGAUGCCCCAGGACAUGGUUUCCAAGGCCAGCUAUUGGAGCCUCACCAGAAAUGUUCAUUCUGCCUCAUCAGUGUCUUGGCUAUUGCCUUUUUGGAACUGCUCUGACCUCUCCUCUUUCCAUCCUGCAGCACCCCCUCUCUCAGCACCAGGGAGCUCCUCCAGGAGCACUUCCUCCCAUGUCUGUGUUCGCCGUUAAGACUGGACACACCAGGAUGAUCUUUCAACUUUGGGUCCAAAGGCCCUCAGUGGAUGUAAAAUAGGUACAUGAGGCCUUGAACUGAACAUUUUUUUCACUUCACCAUAACCUGGAUUUUCCCAGUUUAGGAGCAUCUGUUUGUCUUGAUAACGUUUGGAACAAAGUGAAAAAAACUGGACUUUGAAGAGAACUUCAGGUGAAUUACACAUUUAAGUCAGAUUUUCCAUGUCUUUGUCCCAUGUUCAGUAAUUCAAGCUGUUAGGAGCCCUCAACUUUGUACAUAUAUUUCCUUCCUAUCUCUGCCUCUUCAUACCUGGUACUUACCGUGGAAUUUGAAAUCUUUCUGUGGCUGUAAGCAAGAAAGGCGGGAAAAAUACAAGAAGUUAAAGGGGAUUGGAUGGUUCAGAUUUGGUUGAUGAAUGAGAUGGUUUAGAGGCAUGUCUUGUAAGAGAUAAUUUUCUAUGUGCCAGGUACUAUUUAUGAAUCCCACAUUAUCUUAUUAAUGCUCACAACAAGCCUUGGGGGUAAAUAGAUUAUCAUCGCCAUUUCACAGAUUAGGAAAGUGAGGUUUCAGCAGUCAAUUGCUCAAAGGUCUCCUGCUAGUGAAACAGUCGUCUAUCCAAACAGUCUGAAUGACCUGUGCACAUGGGAACGUGCCACGCAAGCCAAGGGCAGGAAGGAUGAGAAGAGGUGGGCAGAAAGCCAGCUGGGAUGAAUGAAGGACCUACUACGUGCAGGCCCAGGGUCAGACAUUUUAUUUUCUUGAUUGCACUUCAGCCUCCCAGCAGCCCUGUUUUACAGAUGAAGAAACUGAGGCUCAAAGAGCUGGAGAAAGUUGUUGCCCAGGGUCCUGUGGAGAGAAAACUCAAGCUCCGGCUGUUCCACUACUCUGGGACACCACCCCCAGUGGGAACCCCACUUUUACAAGGAUUCGAAGGUAGGUGAGGACUUAUCUCCUGAAAUAAUUAGUAUACUUACUUUUUUGUUACAUAUUCCCACUAAAGGUUUGCAGCCCCACCCAGCUUGAAUAUCAGGAGAAUGGCAACAAAAUCUGGUUCAAGGCUCACAGAAUCCACGAAAGAUGCCAGCCCCUCCACGGUUGGAGAGUGAUUCACAAAUGUGUCUUUAAGGACUUUCCCAGGCCGGGCACAGUGGCUCACACCUGUAAUCCCAGCAAGCCGAGGCGGGAGGAUCACCUGAGGUCAGGAGUUUGAGACCAGCCUGGCCAACAUGAUGAAACUCCGUCUCUACUAAGAAUACAAAAAUUAGGCAGGCGUGGUGGCAUGCACCUGUAAUUCCAACCACUUGGGAGGCUGAGGCAGGAGAACUGCUUGAACCGGGGAGGCAGAGGUUGCAGUGAGCCAAAAUCACACCGCUGCACUCCAGCCUGGGCAACAGAGUGAGACUGUGUCUCAACAACAACAACAACAACAACAAACAGAAAAAAAAGAAAAAAAAAGGACUUCCCCAUCUCAGAGCAGAAGACAAACCCAGGUGACUCUGAGUCUGCACAGAAAAGGCAAGGGUGACCAAGAGUGAGGAGGUUAAGCACCUGUUGCUUUCAGCUCAGGUCCUGACCACAGCCCUUAAUAAGGACAAACCUCUCAGAUUGCUGCAGCCUUCAAUACGCAUGUUCCUAUAGUGCCUGGCCAAUAAGAAGUACUUACACAGUAGCUGUUAUUAUUGUAAAGGCGGCGCAAAGAGUUAAGGAAGGCCGGUAGCUAAGCUGAAUCUGAGUUGCAUCUUGUAGGCCAUGGUAUGUGAAAGAAGGGCAGGCCAGGAGGGGGAACAGAGUGAGUAAAGCCCAGAGGCAGGGGCAUGGAAAAGCAGGGAGGAGUUAAGCUUGGGGCAAAUAUCCUAAAUGAAGGGGAAUAAAAGGCAACAAAGUUUGCAAGUUGCACCGGGGCCACAUCUUGGAGUUGUUUGAGAACAUGUCCCAUGAGGCUGCAUUUAACACCAGCCACUCGCGCUUCCACCCCAACAGCAGGAGUAUCACAUCCACAUGCCAUGUGCGCAAUUCCUUACUUUAUAUCCUCCUCUAAGAUAAAUCUACCCUCCCUCUUUUUUAAGCAUAAGAGCAUUUAUUCUAAAAGGAAACUUUUGGCCAGGCAUGGUGGCUCACGCCUGUAAUCCCAGCACUUUGGGAGGCCUAGGCUGGUGGAUCAUGAGGUCAGGAGUUCGAGACCAGCCUGACCAACAUGGCAAAACCCCGUCUCUACUAAAAAUACAAAAAUUAGCCGGGUGUGGUGGCACGUGCCUGUAGUCCCACCUACUCGGGAGGCUGAGGCAGAAGAAUUGCUUGAACCCGGGAGGCAGAGGUUGCAGUGAGCUGAGAUCACACCACUGCAGUCCAGCCUGGGCAACAAAGCAAGACUCUGUCUCAAAAAAUAAAUAAAUAAAUAAAUAAAAGGAAACUUUUGCUCACUAAUGGAAAUGGAAGUGGCACCUGUCAUAGGCAGAGACAAAUUGUCAAAGUAAACAACUUUUAAGUCUCACUAGACACUCCUGCCCCAGCAGAAUCUGGUCAAAAGCUAGGUCAGCAAAUUUCAGAGGCAGUAUUAAGGACAAAGUAGCAACAAUCCAAACUUUCUUUUUAGGUACUCAGAAAGACUAACAGAACAUUGAGAAGGGGUGUUAGUCACAUCCCCAAACUGCAAGAGGCCAGAAGAUAGCGAGGGGUCUUUCAAACAAUCUAAAAUCUGAGACCCCAAUGUUGGAAAAGAGAAGGAAGGGAAUGGGUUAAAGUGCCAGUUGCUCCCUCCUCAGAUAGCAGGGCCCUGGACAUCCCUAAGAUGUCCCCUUCCUCUUUCAUCCUUCCCUGAUUCCAGCCUCCCCACCUUCCCCAGGCUGGCUUGCCUGAUUUUGUGAGCUCUUCAGCCGGCUUAAAGUGUAAUUCUGUAUUUCUGAUUCUAUCUGUGUUCCAGGAGGCAUUAUCUCUAUCUCUGUAAUAGCUUCUCAAGCAAAAACAUUUUACUGGGUAAAAGAGCAAGGAAUAGGCAUGACCUGAUGCUGAUUUAAAGCAAGAUUCCAGGCAAGCCCCAGAGCCCUCUCUAAGUAGCCUCUCUCCUUUCUGCUGUCUAACGAAACAGCUCCUAAUGGCCAUGGUAUCAUAUUGUAUCUCAUAUUUACACAGCACUCGGCACACAUUCACUUAUUCAGCGGACAUCCAUUGAGGGCCUAUUAUGUGCCAAGUCUUCUGGGUGCUGGCAAUCAACAGUGAACAAAGACCCGUGAGGUUCUUGCUCUACUUGGGAAAACAGGCAAUAAACUCUGAAACAAGUAAAUAAACACGAUCAUGAUGAGGCUACUGAAAAAGCAAUGUGGUAGCAGCGUGACGAUGAUGUGCCAUGGGAGACAGGUGGCAACAUCAAAAAAGGUAGACUGCCCCCGCCCUCCGAAGAGGUGGCAUGUGAGCAAGAAGGAGCCAGCCAAUGGAAAGCUCUGAAAGCAGAGUCUUUUAAAAACAAAACAAAAUCAAAAAACAAAAACAGGGCUCAAAGAAGAUGUCUGCACUUCUGCCAGACGGGGCAGAAAGAAGAUAAUGGUGCUCCAAUCAGGGAGACUGUGGAGGCAGUACAGGUGACAGGAGGCAGGGAAACGAGAAUUAGCCAGAAACACAGUAGGUUUGCCAUGUCAGUCAGACACUCGAGUGUGUUCUUGCUCUUCUCAACAAACCAUAAAGUAAGGACGAUCAGUGUUUCCCAUUUUACAGACAGGAAAACUGAAGCUCGGGAAGGCUACCCAGGUACAUAGGGGCAGUGGUGGGAUGUGAAUCUAUGGUUUAGGAUGCUGACGCCAGCACUAUCCCACCUGCCUCAUGGUAGAGCAGUGUCCAGACACAGAGGUGGCAAUGCAGCAGCUCAAGUGGCAGCUCCAGCACUGCAUGUGUUUUGUCCGUUCUACAUGGGUUUGGAAAAACUCACCUGAGCUAGCGAUCAACUCUUAAAUAUAACCCUUCACUCAAAAAUCUGGCUGUCUAUCUGAAAAUAUUUGAAGACCUGGUCAUAGUGGGACCAUGAUUUGAAUGACAACAAUGGGCUGGAGCAGUAUCUCUGCCCACCUUGAGAGAGGGAUGGGCACUCUGUUUUUCCACAGCCCCCACCUCUCCCGAUUGCUUGCCCCGGCCCCUUCACUCCUCUCCAUUGCAUUCAUGGCCUCCCUAUGCAUUCGGCUUUGAGGCCCCAGCUCUCUAGUGAUGAAAUAUGUGGGAAGAUCCACAAAGCCCAGCAAACGAGGAGUGACCAGAGGAAUUGAGUUACAGUUCCUCCCUAGAACACUUUCCUGCCUUUCUGAUGUAAUCACUUUGCGCAAACAGUAGGAAAUGUUCAGAAGAGCUGCUACAAGGCGGUGAUUAAGAGGUCAGGCCUGGUUCUUAAUUCUAGCUUCAGCAAGUCCUAUCUGUGGGACUUGGGCAAGUUCUAAAAACCUCAGUUUCUUUAUCUGUAAAGCGCAAAUAAUAAUAAUGCCUACUUUAUAAGUAGGAUUAGGGGAAACAGUAAUUUAGGAAACGUGCUCGGAAUGAUGCUAGUUUCGUGGUGAGUAUCCAAUAGAUGGAGCCGUAGUUGUCUUUCUCAUCUUAGAAAGCAGCUGAUUCUCCCAUGUCAUGACAGUGUUUGUGCAACUCCUCUGGAAUUCUCUCCUUUCUUCCUUAGGAGAGCAUUUUCUCAAUGUUCCUCUUUAUCUUUCUCCAAACACAAAGACAAAUCUAAGAGGAAAAAAAAAAUCUUCAAACUGGGUCGCAGAUACUCAGCUUCUUGUCAAUUCUCAUUAGGGUUUAAAAGCUCAGUCUCCUGCAUAUGCCCAAAGAUAAAGCAAUCCCUUCCAUUCCUAAUUCAAAGAACCAAAAAAAAAAAAAAAACAUGUGGUUGGACCUGGUUGAAUAUAUAAACUUUUGGGGAUGGCAAUAAACUAGGCAAAGUCCUGGUUAUUCAAUUUAUUAGCUCAGUUGUGCAACGUAGAAAUAAACAGAAAAUUACUUAUAAUUUUACAAUAAUAUUCAUUUAGAAACAUCACUUUUCUCCAUAUACGUGUUGCAUGAAACAGCUUUACUCCAUUCUUUGCCACACAUAAGGAGGCCGAGGAGGGAAGAUGGCAUGAGGCCAGGAAUUCAAGGCUGCAGUGAGAUAUGAUUGCACCACUACACUUCAGCCUGGGCGACAGGGUGACACCUCAUCUCUAAAAAAUAAAAUAAAAUAAUAAAAAAAUUUUGGAAAUUUUUAAAGCGUCUGCUCCACAGAGCCACAUUUUGCAUUGUGCAGUUUCGUUUUUCAGACCUUUCUCCUCUCUUCCAUCUGACUGCCCUGAGAUCCAGCACUUUUUGCUUCCACAUCUGAGGCUGUCGCUGGAAACAAGGUCUCCAUCCCAUUUGCAUGACAUGAGCACAGUCGGGAUUUGUAUUCAUUCUGUGGGUGUGUGUAUAUUCGUGCUCUCCACAAAAGAACCACUCAGCAUUGCUUUUUCAAGCCGAGCUUUAAAAGGCUUAUUUGCCAUGACAUCCAGCACUUGUAAUUUGAGGUCAUACCCCGAGGAAGAAUUGCUAAAUCUGUGUAAAAUGUUUCUGACUCCUUUUCUUACAGAUUCUGUCAGAUUAUCUCUUUAAGAAUUCUAAGCCCAUGUUGUUUGAGGUGGUUUUAGGCUAAUGUACAUUCCCCAAACAUUUCUUUGCUGUUCAAAAUAAAGCAAUUGAGAGGGUUCUUCGUAAAAACGAAGCACUUUGCAAGAGCUCAAGACAAAAGACAACUCCCUUUUUUCUAGGGGGUAAUUUUGAGGAUAGAAGAAAAACAGUGUUCUAUGUAAGCCUGUACAAUCACGAGAGCCAUUUGCUGAGGGCCAUGUGUGCGAGUGGUUCGUGUGCUCUCCACCUCCUCUUCUUCCUCCCAGGGGAUGAAAUGAGGCCCAACAAGUGCAAGACAUGGACCAUGUCAGCUCGUGACAGAACAGGGCUGGAACCCAAGUCUGCUAGGCUCAGCCCACUCCCUCCCUGUGCCGAGUUGACAUAUUCUACUUACAUUAAGCCAAGUGCUGGGCUCUGAUUAUACAAAAUCAGAUAAGCCAGGACCCUGUGUUCAAGGAGCUCCCAGGCCUGCUGGGGUGAGAGUGGAGCAGCAAGGAUGGAAGUGCACAGAUGCAAGGGUGGCCAGGCCUAUGGGGAUACAGGCAAGGGAGGCUGAGUGUU